CAGUCGCCGCGGGAAUACCAGCAGCCCAAGUGGUGGUCGCGCUUAUUGGGCCUAAAGCGCUCGUAGCCUGGCCGGUAAGUUCCCCGUGAAAUCGGGUCGCCCAACGAUUCGGCUUGCGGGGAAUACUGUCGGUCUUGGGGCCGGGAGACGCCGAGGGUACUCCGGGGGUAGCGGUGAAAUGCUGUAAUCCUCGGGGGACUACCAGUGGCGAAGGCGCUCGGCGAUAACGGGCCUGACGGUGAGGGGCGAAAGCUGGGGGCGCGAACGGGAUUAGAUACCCGAGUAGUCCCUGUCUCUUAUA
This 301-nucleotide ribosomal RNA is filed under the name uncultured bacterium. RNAcentral's name for it is "partial 16S ribosomal RNA". It matches the Rfam family "Archaeal small subunit ribosomal RNA", at positions 459 to 759 of the family's 1478-position model. The record is from RNAcentral.